CGACCGUCUAUGGAGUCUUUCUAGGCUUCCUGUCCAAACAUAAUGAAACAACACCGAAUAGCGCUUCAGGCCACAUCAUUUGAAGAGCAAUAAUAUAACGUUUCCAGCUAUUCAAGGACCAUUUUAUGACUGAAUGAUUAUGGGACGAUAAGGCCAUUUAUGUUAAGUAGAUCUGGGAGCAUCUCACAUGAGAUUUUUAACCUCUGGGAGCAUGCUGAUUUGAUGCAGUCUGAAACAAUGUUUUUCCUCCGCCUUGACAACGGGCGAACCUCUUCCUCCCUUGAGGUAGGAGUCCCAUUUUCCAGCUUCCCCCGCAGCGUCGCGCAGCCAAGGCUCUGGGUCAGGAUAGAGAACGCGCUCUCCCGCCACUUCGCGAGCUCCAGGACCACAUUACCCAGAAGACCGUGCGUCAAGAGGAGCCAAUGACCGACCAGGACGAAGCAUAUCCGUGCGUGCGCAUCGCGUGAGAGGGACUUCCGGCCCCUUGCCCGCGUUUUUGCGGUUCUUGGGGAUCCCUGGCGCAGCGUUGAGACGCGCAGGACAGAACGGAGUAGGCAUGGCAAGAGCCGUCCUCACAGCCGAGACGCGGGUUAGCGGCUCUGCGCCGGGGCCCGGACAGGCACCGCCCGCCCGGGUGUCCGCUCCGCCCAUAGAGUCCGAUGGCGACGGCCGCGCGCCGGGACCCGGCUGAGAGUUCCAGGACUGCAGAAAUACUUAGGGAGCCAACACAGGUAUGUAGAGGGGGCCCUGAUCCCUUACUGGCCCUGAAUGCCACUCAGAUGGCAGUCCUGGGACUCUUAUGUGCCAUUUUCCCAGUCCUUGGGUCUGGGGACCCUAGAGAAACCCCAUCUCAGGGUCCUGAGCUCAUGCCAGGGGUUAUACGCAGGUGUUCCAUUCCUGUCGGCUAUCAUGAAGGAGUGUGUGGAGUUAACCCAGGGUCAGGUACCAGGAAGUGCAAAUACAUAAAGGUAAAGCUGAGCUCAGGGUGUUCAGGAACCACGUGUCUCCUUUUCUGAUAUGAACAAAGAGCAGGUGUCAGGACGGGAAUGACUGUCUGAAAAGUUGGGUGUGUAUUCUGGAGGUGGUGGGAGGUUUGGGCCAGAGGAGAGAGGUAAUGUUAGCAAGGUGGAAACAGUCUCCUUCUGACUGUAAAGUGGAGAACAGACCAUGGGAAUGAGAGAGGAGCAAGGAAAGCCAGGGUGGAAGCUACUACUAUAGUCUAGGUGAGGGUUAAUGGACCGGGGCUGUGGUUUAGGGUGGUUGCAUUUCUGGAAGUGGCCAUGGGAUACAAGUUUUAAAACAGGGAAACUGGGUUUUCUCAUGUGGGUGGUGAGGGAGGCAAACGGAGGUAUCAGGGAUAACCCCAGAGUGAUUGAUCUUCGCACCUGUAGGGAUGGAAGUUCCAACUGAGAUGAGGAAGUUGGUAGUAGGAAUAAUAUUCACUGGGGAUAUCAGGAGCUUUGUUUUGGCCACGUUAGGAGUCUGAGGUGUUUCAGAGAUCACUUAGUGGAGGCAUCGAAUUGGCAUCUAGAAACGCAAGUUGGGAAAUCAAAAGAGGGGUUCAAAUUGAAGACAUUCAAAAUGUGGUAGUUACUCUAUGGGCCCAAGUAAGUAACCUGUGGUUAUAUUUAGGAGAUAUAAUCUUCAUAUUCAUGGUCAUGAAGCUGUUUAUGGGCCAGGAGGUGGAGGGUAGAGACUGAGCACUAGGUCUCUUGCUUGGGACCUGAGUGACGGCAUUGGAAUUCUUAAAUGCAGGUGAGGGAGGUAUGUGGCACUUAAGGUAGGGUGUAUCAGACAGACUAGUCUAGCAGGUGGCUGAGGCUUCCAGGAUAAGAGUGGACAUGAGAGACGUAGCGGGAAGGGGUAAUUGAGGCAAGAUGUCACUCAGGCCAGAGCUCUUGUUUAUUCACGUCUCUGUGGAUCCACCAAGAUUUGUGAGGAUUUGGUGGGGGCUGGGAUGUUUCAUUCAGCCUGGUGGGUAUGAUCAGGGGCAAAUAUAUGGUCAUCUGUGAGAAUCAGUAGGACUGGGGUGGGUGAUACAUGGACCGGGCUCUGAAUGAGGGUUAGGUGGACACAGAAGGUUGUCAUUGCCGAGGAGACAGCCUGUGCAGCACAGAAAUGGAAGAGGGCCCUGGGUAUUGAGACCCACAACUGAUUCUGUGUGGCUGAGUCUCAGUAGGGAGGCCUUCAUAGAAGGAUUAGGUGUUUCCAACUCUAGUGGGAGCCAUGGGCAUUCUUGGCUUGUAUUGGGUUCUGUUUGAAUUUGCCAAGUAGCUCUGGAUGUUUUCUGCUAAGUUCAUUUUAUGGCUUAAAAUUAAGGUCCAUUUUUAUGUGCUGCCUUGACACCUGUUGAAGCCCCAAGUGGCUGAUGUGGCCAAGAGUGUAUUCUUGGGUAAAGUGUCCUAGCCAGGCAUCCCUUUCCAUCGAGAGGACCAGAGCACUUCCUGCUUCGGCCUUUGAAGUGGGCUUCACUUGUCUACCGGCCCAUGGAGUUAUUCACACAAGCCGUUCACAUCAUCCUGUGGGAACCACAUGGUACCCCAACUCUUGAUCUUGUGAGACUUGCAUCUCACAGCCCCUGGUCGUUCACUCUUUUCUAGUAUACAGCAUUCACAUGGCCCUGUAAGGCGUGUGGUGUCCUCCCCUCUGGGCUGUGAAUAUAUGUAGUAAACUGCUGUUGAUCUCAUCUGUCCAGUGUCCGGUACUUUGUGUUUGGCCGUCCCCAUAAGCCUAGGACAGGAGUUCUCAAACAAAAGUGACUUAUAGGGAGGCCAAGGAGAUGCCUGUGCCACGUGGCAUUGUGCCACCAGUGUCCAGGAACAUGAGGCUGUGCGUUCUGAAGAAUACUUGGAGAGGGAGUAUGUCUGAAGGUCCCAGGGCCCUAGGAAUGACACUUACACGACAGACCAUAUCAGGGUGGAGGAGUAGCUUGACAGAAGUGGGUGCAUUCAUCCACCCAGGACCACAGCUCAGACAUCUGUUCACCUGUGUGUUGUUGCUGAUGAUCAGACCUCAUGACUCAUGAGCCCACGAGUAACCAGCAGUGCAAGCUGUCCCAAGGCCUGGUUUGUUUCCUAGGUUGGAGGCUUGGGAGGAGGGUGAUCUUGGGGUAGAUGUGUACAGGAGGGAUUGGGUACUCAGGAGAAGGGCUCUUGGUGGUUUCAUCUGUCACCAUCAUGACAGAACACUGUGACUUUUGAAGACGUGGCUGUGUACCUGUCCCGGCAGGAGUGGGGUCUCCUUGAUGAGUUUCAGAGACACUUCUACCACGAUGUGAUGCUGGAAAACUUUGAACUUACAGUCUUUCUGGGUAAGGCCCUCACACCACCCCUGUACCCUUAGAUGUUCUCUGCUCUUCCCCUUUUUCCCAGGGGCUCGUCUGUCCUUCCUGUAUCAGGACCAUGGACACUGCUUCUUGCCCCAGCUCCCCAAGUAUGUGCUGUGGCUGGUAAGGCUGAGGUAUGUGCACUGCCCUCUCCUGCAGCAGUCCCAGCAUGGGGCCAGGCAUCUAGCAGUCACUGUAGUUGAUUCUACUUCGCUUGCCCUCUUCUGGCCUGUGACUUUGUACAGAUCCAAGGCACCAGAAUACACCAGCGGCUACUUCUUUCCUCUAGCUGACAUUUCUUCAUGCCUGCUGUGCCAGGAAUUGCUAACACUGACACAGUUACGGCUGUCUUGCGAGACACUCUUCUGAAGUUUUCUGUAAUCGGUUUCACCCCCUGUGGUCUAUCACAUGCUG
Molecule: long non-coding RNA, 3739 nt
Filed under: Panthera leo (lion)
Lineage: Eukaryota; Metazoa; Chordata; Mammalia; Carnivora; Felidae
Description: lncRNA (ENSPLOG00000006663.1)
Source: RNAcentral